RNAcentral lists this ribosomal RNA (718 nucleotides) under uncultured soil bacterium. RNAcentral describes it as "bacterial SSU rRNA". It matches the Rfam family "Bacterial small subunit ribosomal RNA", at positions 46 to 742 of the family's 1533-position model. The record is from RNAcentral.
GGAUAAGACAUGCAAGUCGAACGGGAUUAUUUUUGUAGCAAUACAGAAAUAAUUCAGUGGCGAACGGGUGCGUAACACGUGGGCAAUCUGCCGAAAAGUGGGGGAUAGCUCGCCGAAAGGCGAAUUAAUACCGCAUGUGGUGAGGGACGACAUCUUCCUGAAUCCAAAGCCGGGGCAACCUGGCGCUUUUUGAGGAGCCCGCGGCCUAUCAAGCUAGUUGGCGGGGUAACGGCCCACCAAGGCUAUGACGGGUAGCUGGUCUGAGAGGACGACCAGUCCACACUGGAACUGAGACACGGUCCAGACACCUACGGGUGGCAGCAGUUGAGAAUUUUUCUCAAUGGGCGAAAGCCUGAAGGAGCGACGCCGCGUGGAGGAUGAAGGCUUUCGGGUUGUAAACUCCUGUCAUUUGAGAACAAGUGCCAACAAGUAACUACUGUUGGCUUGAUAGUAUCAGAAGAGGAAGGGACGGCUAACUCUGUGCCAGCAGCCGCGGUAAUACAGAGGUCCCAAGCGUUGUUCGGAUUCAUUGGGCGUAAAGGGUGCGUAGGUGGCGCCGUAAGUCGGGUGUGAAGUUUCGGAGCUUAACUCCGAAAUUGCAUUCGAUACUGCGGUGCUUGAGGACUGGAGAGGAGACUGGAAUUCAUGGUGUAGCAGUGAAAUGCGUAGAGAUCAUGAGGAAGACCAGUGGCGAAGGCGGGUCUCUGGACAGUUCCUG